AUUGAACGCUGGCGGCAUGCCUUACACAUGCAAGUCGAACGGUAACGCGGGGGCAACCCUGGCGACGAGUGGCGAACGGGUGAGUAAUACAUCGGAACAUAUCCAGUAGCGGGGGAUAACCUAUCGAAAGAUUGGCUAAUACCGCAUACGAUCUACGGAUGAAAGCGGGGGACAGCAAGGCCUCGCACUAUUGGAGUGGCCGAUGGCAGAUUAGCUAGUUGGUGGGGUAAGAGCCUACCAAGGAGACGAUCUGUAGCGGGUCUGAGAGGACGAUCAGCCACACUGGAACUGAGACACGGUCCAGACUCCUACGGGAGGCAGCAGUGGGGAAUUUUGGACAAUGGGCGCAAGCCUGAUCCAGCCAUGCCGCGUGAGUGAAGAAGGCCUUCGGGUUGUAAAGCUCUUGCGGUGAAGACGAAACGGUUAGUGUUAAUAACACUGACUAAUGACGGUACUCACAGAAGAAGCACCGGCUAACUACGUGCCAGCCGCCGCAGUAA
Molecule: ribosomal RNA, 500 nt
Filed under: uncultured bacterium
Lineage: Bacteria
Description: partial 16S ribosomal RNA
Rfam family: Bacterial small subunit ribosomal RNA
Source: RNAcentral